UAAUACGUAGGUGGCAAGCGUUGUCCGGAAUUAUUGGGCGUAAAGCGCGCGCAGGCGGCUAUGUAAGUCUGGUGUUAAAGCCCGGGGCUCAACCCCGGUCCGCAUCGGAAACUGUGUAGCUUGAGUGCAGAAGAGGAAAGCGGUAUUCCACGUGUAGCGGUGAAAUGCGUAGAGAUGUGGAGGAACACCAGUGGCGAAGGCGGCUUUCUGGUCUGUAACUGACGCUGAGGCGCGAAAGCGUGGGGAGCAAACAGGAUUAGAUACCCUGGUAGUCCACGCCGUAAACGAUGAGUGCUAGGUGUUGGGGGUUUCAAUACCCUCAGUGCCGCAGCUAACGCAAUAAGCACUCCGCCUGGGGAGUACGGUCGCAAGACUGAA
Molecule: ribosomal RNA, 378 nt
Filed under: uncultured bacterium
Lineage: Bacteria
Description: bacterial SSU rRNA
Rfam family: Bacterial small subunit ribosomal RNA
Source: RNAcentral